CAGGCCUAACACAUGCAAGUCGAACGAAGGCUUCGGCCUUAGUGGCGCACGGGUGCGUAACGCGUGGGAAUCUGCCCUUGGGUUCGGAAUAACCGUUGGAAACGACGGCUAAUACCGGAUGAUGUCGAUAAGACCAAAGAUUUAUCGCCUGAGGAUGAGCCCGCGUAGGAUUAGGUAGUUGGUGGGGUAAAGGCUCACCAAGCCGACGAUCCUUAGCUGGUCUGAGAGGAUGAUCAGCCACACUGGGACUGAGACACGGCCCAGACUCCUACGGGAGGCAGCAGUGGGGAAUAUUGGACAAUGGGCGCAAGCCUGAUCCAGCAAUGCCGCGUGAGUGAUGAAGGCCUUAGGGUUGUAAAGCUCUUUUACCCGGGAUGAUAAUGACAGUACCGGGAGAAUAAGCUCCGGCUAACUCCGUGCCAGCAGCCGCGGUAAU
This 436-nucleotide ribosomal RNA is filed under the name uncultured bacterium. RNAcentral's name for it is "bacterial SSU rRNA". It matches the Rfam family "Bacterial small subunit ribosomal RNA", at positions 43 to 524 of the family's 1533-position model. The record is from RNAcentral.